UAAAAAGACAUUUGUGCCCUUCCUUUAGCUA
RNAcentral lists this non-coding RNA (31 nucleotides) under Mus musculus (house mouse). The record is from RNAcentral. Lineage: Eukaryota; Metazoa; Chordata; Mammalia; Rodentia; Muridae.